UCCCUGAGACCAUAACAUUGUGA
RNAcentral lists this microRNA (23 nucleotides) under Gallus gallus (chicken). RNAcentral's name for it is "microRNA Ros-gga". Lineage: Eukaryota; Metazoa; Chordata; Aves; Galliformes; Phasianidae. The record is from RNAcentral.